CAGCAGAUACCUCCUAUCGUUCAGUUCUA
Molecule: non-coding RNA, 29 nt
Filed under: Mus musculus (house mouse)
Lineage: Eukaryota; Metazoa; Chordata; Mammalia; Rodentia; Muridae
Source: RNAcentral